UCUCAGAAUGCCACGGUGAAUACGUUCCCGGGCCUUGUACACACCGCCCGUCACACCAUGGGAGUGGGUUGCAAAAGAAGUAGGUAGCUUAACCUUCGGGAGGGCGCUUACCACUUUGUGAUUCAUGACUGGGGUGAAGUCGUAACAAGGUAACCGUAGGGGAACCUGCGGUUGGAUCACCUCCUUA
This 187-nucleotide ribosomal RNA is filed under the name Salmonella enterica. RNAcentral's name for it is "partial 16S ribosomal RNA". It matches the Rfam family "Bacterial small subunit ribosomal RNA", at positions 1347 to 1533 of the family's 1533-position model. The record is from RNAcentral. Lineage: Bacteria; Pseudomonadati; Pseudomonadota; Gammaproteobacteria; Enterobacterales; Enterobacteriaceae.